GCUCCAGACUCCUACGGGAGGCAGCAGUGGGGAAUAUUGCACAAUGGGCGCAAGCCUGAUGUAGCCAUGCCGCGUGUAUGAAGAAGGCCUUCGGGUUGUAAAGUACUUUCAGCGGGGAGGAAGGUGUUGUGGUUAAUAACCACAGCAAUUGACGUUACCCGCAGAAGAAGCACCGGCUAACUCCGUGCCAGCAGCCGCGGUAAUACGGAGGGUGCAAGCGUUAAUCGGAAUUACUGGGCGUAAAGCGCACGCAGGCGGUCUGUCAAGUCGGAUGUGAAAUCCCCGGGCUCAACCUGGGAAUUGCAUCUGAUACUGGUCAGCUAGAGUCUUGUAGAGGGGGGUAGAAUUCCAUGUGUAGCGGUGAAAUGCGUAGAGAUGUGGAGGAAUGCCGGUGGCGAAGGCGGCCCCCUGGACAAAGACUGACGCUCAGGUGCGAAAGCGUGGGGAGCAAACAGGAUUAGAUACCCGAGUA
Molecule: ribosomal RNA, 472 nt
Filed under: uncultured bacterium
Lineage: Bacteria
Description: bacterial SSU rRNA
Rfam family: Bacterial small subunit ribosomal RNA
Source: RNAcentral